UCUGUAGGCGGCGGGGUGAGUCAGAUGUGAAAUCCCGGGGCUCAACCCCGGAACUGCAUCCGAUACUGCCUUGCUAGAGUAUUGGAGGGGAGUCUGGAAUUCUCGGUGUAGCAGUGAAAUGCGUAGAUAUCGAGAGGAACACUAGUGGCGAAGGCGAGACUCUGGACAAUUACUGACGCUGAGAGACGAAGGCCAGGGAGCGAAAA
Molecule: ribosomal RNA, 206 nt
Filed under: uncultured bacterium
Lineage: Bacteria
Description: partial 16S ribosomal RNA
Rfam family: Bacterial small subunit ribosomal RNA
Source: RNAcentral